RNAcentral lists this ribosomal RNA (397 nucleotides) under uncultured bacterium. RNAcentral describes it as "partial 16S ribosomal RNA". It matches the Rfam family "Bacterial small subunit ribosomal RNA", at positions 523 to 918 of the family's 1533-position model. The record is from RNAcentral.
AUACGUAGGUGGCAAGCGUUGUCCGGAAUUAUUGGGCGUAAAGCGCGCGCAGGUGGUUCCUUAAGUCUGAUGUGAAAGCCCCCGGCUCAACCGGGGAGGGUCAUUGGAAACUGGGGAACUUGAGUGCAGAAGAGGAUAGUGGAAUUCCAAGUGUAGCGGUGAAAUGGGUAGAGAUUUGGAGGAACACCAGUGGCGAAGGCGACUUUCUGUGCUGUAACUGGCGCUGAGGCGCCAAAGCGUGCGGAGAAAACAGAAUUAUAUCCCCUGGGUGCCCACGCCGUAACCGAUGAGUUCUAAGUGUUGGGGGGUUUCCGCCCCGCAGUGCUGCAGCUAACGCAUUACGCACUACGCCUGGGGAGUUAGGUCGUAAGACGGAGACUGAAAGGAAUUGACGGGG